RNAcentral lists this unclassified non-coding RNA (218 nucleotides) under fungal sp. RNAcentral's name for it is "partial internal transcribed spacer region". The stretch from base 1 to 46 matches the Rfam family "Eukaryotic small subunit ribosomal RNA", at positions 1786 to 1831 of the family's 1831-position model. Lineage: Eukaryota; Fungi. The record is from RNAcentral.
AAGUCGUAACAAGGUUUCCGUAGGUGAACCUGCGGAAGGAUCAUUGACACAAAUAUAAAACAAAUAAUCACACUUGUAUGAAAAUCUUUAUUUUAACUACCAUUACUCAAAGUACACUUAUUAAUCAAAAAAUUUUCUACUGCUUGUCAGUGCAAAAUAUGAAUACUAGUAUAUUCAACAAUUGUUACAACAGUUAACAACGGAUAUCUAGGCUCUUA